ACUGCUCAGUAACACGUGGAUAACCUGCCCUGCGGUGGGAAAUAACCCCGGGAAACUGGGGAUAAUGUCCCAUAGGCUACGGAUGCUGGAAUGCUCUGUAGCUCAAAGAUUUAUCGCCACAGGAUGGGUCUGCGGCCGAUUAGGUAGUUGUUGGGGUAACGGCCCAACAAGCCUUUGAUCGGUACGGGUUGUGGGAGCAAGAGCCCGGAGAUGGAUUCUGAGACACGAAUCCAGGCCCUACGGGGUGCAGCAGGCGCGAAAACUUUACAAUGCUGGCAACAGCGAUAAGGGAACCUCGAGUGCCAGGUUACAAAUCUGGCUGUCGAGAUGCCUAAAAAGCAUUUCAUAGCAAGGGCCGGGCAAGACCGGUGCCAGCCGCCGCGGUAACACCGGCGGCUCGAGUGGUAACCGUUAUUAUUGGGUCUAAAGGGUCUGUAGCCGGCCGGAUAAGUCUCUUGAGAAAUCUGGCAGCUUAACUGUCAGGCUUUCAGGAGAUACUGUCUGGCUCGAGGCCGGGAGAGGUGAGAGGUACUUCAGGGGUAGGGGUGAAAUCUUGUAAUCCUUGAAGGACCACCAGUGGCGAAGGCGUCUCACCAGAACGGACCUGACGGCAAGGGACGAAAGCUAGGGGCACGAACCGGAUUAGAUACCCGGGUAGUCCUAGCCGUAAACGAUACUCGCUAGGUGUCGGCCACGGUGCGACCGUUGUCGGUGCCGUAGGGAAGCCGUGAAGCGAGCCACCUGGGAAGUACGGCCGCAAGGCUGAAACUUAAAGGAAUUGGCGGGGGAGCAC
This 793-nucleotide ribosomal RNA is filed under the name uncultured archaeon. RNAcentral describes it as "bacterial SSU rRNA". It matches the Rfam family "Archaeal small subunit ribosomal RNA", at positions 85 to 879 of the family's 1478-position model. The record is from RNAcentral.